ACCAGACAGCAGCUGGGCCACCUAGGCGGCUGCUGGCGUAGACGCUGGCGCUCUCUGCACGCUCUCUGUGCUGACGCCGGGACCCAGGGAGGCUCACGGUCGGGCACUCUGUCCCUCAGCCUGGUGCACGGACUGCGCCUGAGCUCAGCAGUAACCACAACAACAUGGCUCUGGGUUGGCUCGGAGUGAGGACAGGGGACCGUGUUACGUGACCGCAGCACUGGCCUGAGCUGUGAGCAAGGGGAUUGGCCUGACGACUGGAAGUCUCUGCGGAUGAAAGGAGAAGCAAGCUAUGAAUUCCCACGGGGGUACCCAGAGGUUUUGCGCAGGCUCCCUUGUGUUAGCAGGCUCCUGGCUGACCUUGCACCCGUCUCGCUCUUGGGGGAGCGCUGCCCAGCAAGGACUCGCUCUGGACCAGGGUGGUGAAAAUGCCUGAUUCCUGCUUCUCCUUGUCCCGCCUGACUCGCCAAUAUCCAGACUGAGCAAAACGGGAAUAUGGACUUGAGCUGCUUCGGUGUUUGGGGUCACUCGGAAGCUUGUCCCCCUUGCUGAAGCCCCACUUAGAGCACCCGCCUCCCCGCUGUGUUCUCGUCCGCCCGCACCUGAGCUGCCUCCCAGCGAGAGCGGUCGUGAGCAGAAGUACCACAGCAGAUGAGAAAGAAGCAGUGAUCUAGAGCUGGACCAACUACAAGCAUGACGGUAACAUUUGGAGGCCCUGACAGCCGACUUGGCUGCGCAAGGCUGCUCUGCGUGGGCAGACAGAGUGAAACACAGACCUCGUCCCACUGUAAAUGAAUAAGAACUUCCAAGGGCAGCAAAAUGAGAGAGGAAUAUCACUGUUUUACCAGUGAGGAAGUCAGCACUGAUGGCUUGAGUGAUUUAUCCAAAGUCAGUAAGUCCAGAAGUCGGUAACAACACAGGAAACCUGCGUCCCAGCUGCUUCUCCGAAGACGCUGCUAACCAUAAAAAUAUCAGCCGGCUUCCGAUCGUGGCAUGCUCAAAAACCUCCUCGAGGAAAACAUAGUCGGUAGCUCCCCGUCCGCACAGCACACCCGCUCCGUGUCUCCAGGAGGCGGCACGUCGAGCCCUGGCGCAAAUCGGCGCUGGGGGUGGCACAGACCCAUGCAAAGCUGGAGGUGGAAAACCAGGAUCGUCGUGGCAGGGCCACGCCGAAGUUUUCCAGGAGCUCCCGAAACGCAGCAUGCUCUGCCUGGCGCCGGCGGCCUCCCCGGUCUCUCCCGUGCCAGCGGGUCCGGGAAAUGGACCCGGGAGAUGCUGGGAAAUAGCAUCUCACGCCAGCGUGUGCUCCCGAGGCUUGCGAGCCCUUGGGCAUCCAGCGGUUGUUGGUGCCGGCCUCGCUCCCGCGCCGCCGUGGGAACGCCUGAAUUUCCCCCAAAACCCAGUGCCCGGCCCCCGGCUCCGCGGGGCACUUGGCACCCGCCGCUGCCGCACACGUGCGCACGCACACGCGCACCGCUGCCAACUGCCCGUCCCUGUUCGUCUUUGUUCUUGGCGAUUACUGUGCAGACAACACACUCACCCGGCUGCGCCGAGAAACUGCGGACCGACCCAGCGCUGCGCUGGGGAGGGAAAUAUUGCUGAGCAGAGCCUUAGGAGAUGGAGGCACAUUAUUUUAAAUUAUCUUGAACAUAAAGAAAAAAAAAAGUGAGAAUCUGGCAACCUUGCAGCAAAGAAAAACCCUCAAAACCAGUUAUUCCUUUUAAAUAAAAACAAAAAUGAGAAACAGUAACUAUUAGAAAUCCCACCUGGUGCUUUUUCUGUGUUAAUGAUGCUUCUUAAAUUGCAUGUGGGUAAAUGGUAAUUUUGUCUCACACCAUUAAAAACUAAUGGAACCCUUGAUGAUAAGAAAUGCCAUAGCUAGCUUGUUGGAAAACGUUUAAUUAAUAAAGUAAUAAAAUUAUUGUAAACUAGUGCAGUUUCACAGAGGAUUCAAUGGGAUAUAAAACAGAUAAAACAUCUUUGAGAGUUGGUACAAGAAAUAAAUGCUGCUCUAUAAAAAGAAAUACCAUAAAGUUAAGCUGGUCUCUGUUGCACAGAGUUAAGAUAAGCUUUGUAAUAAUAAAGAUAUUUCUUUUGCAGGAAGUGUUGCAGAAGCAUGACGAGUCCAGGAGCGUAUUUUUUCCAUGCCUGGAAGGACGGCGUGCAUCCCGUCUCGGUCGGUUUGGAGCAGAAGGGAGCUGCGGCACCGCACAUCGAUGCAAGUUUUUAUCGUUGGCCAGGCACGUGUUUUGGGGCAGUUAGUUCAUUAUUUGGGUAACAAAACCUCCAUGCCAAAGUAGCAGGAAAGACACCAGCAACACUGUGCUGUCCUUGUUAAGCAGAAAAAAAUGUCAGAAAUGAUGAACCGGUCCCUUUUGGGGCAUUCCCGGCAGGUGACGGGGUCUCGCUGGAGGUCUGUGGCAGCCAGUGCUGGACACGGACAGGCCGGGCAGAGGCUUGGGAAUGAGCUUGGCCAGUAUUUUUCUCAAUUCCCAAUGACAUUUUUCUUGAAAGAUCUGGGAAUAUUUUUGUAACAAGUUACCAUGUUUCUUUCCUACCCACUGCUGUAUAUUUUAUGCUCACACCAGAAAUUAAGGCCCCUGCACUGUGCUCCGAAAGUGGCCCGUUUCCUGCGUUAGGGCUUCGUUAGGCCCCACAGCGGCUGCCUUUCGUGUCAGGGAGAGGAGUUACACCGCGGCGUAUACAGCCUGGCCACGGUUGCGCUACCCGCAGGGGCUGAGAGGGUGGGUUUCUCAGGCCGUGCGUUAUGGUGAGGUUGGGCUAAUGUUUUCUACAGUUCCUAAGGGACUUUGGGCUUGUUCUGGAAAGGUUUGCCUCCGCGCCUCAUCGGCCCCCCGGCACGGGCUCCGCGUGGGAAGCCCGCGCUGGUCAUGGGGCAAGAAAAAGGACGGUGCGGAUACAAGCCCGCAGAGGUUCAGAGACAGCAUUUCACACAUUUUGCAAUCAAGGAGAUUUCAGUUUGACCGGAUCUCCAUAAACUAUUUGCUAUAAAUUUAUAAAGUUUCAUGCUUGAGUUUAUUAACCUCUUCCAUGUGGACGUAAGAAAGGGAUGAUCACACAUUAGUAAUAAAAAGUCCAUUCUGCUCACCAAGCUGCCCAGACAUUGUUGCUCUCGCUGAUGUGAAGACGACAUCUAGAUAGGCUUUGCAAUGUCCAUCCACUUCUGGUUUGAAUUCUCUAAUUCCUUUAGUAUCCUCUACAGUGUCCACCUUGCUACUUAUUUAGAGGCCAUCCUGUUCGAUCUAUAGUUUGAAAAUAAAGCAUACAUUUUUAAGAAGUGUAUCAGCAUGAAUAAUGCUACAUAUAAUAACAUUCCUUAAAUGCAUUUUGGCCGAAUCGAGACCUGAGGUGCCCGUGUCCCAGCUCCGCUCCCGUUUGGUGCUGUCCGCCCAGCUGCGAGCACUAGCUGUCCAUGGGCCCACGGAGACCCGGCUGCCCAGCAGGAGCAUGGCGAGGCUGAAGGACCCGAGCACCCCGCCAAGGGGUCGGCUGCUGCGGGGGGAGUAACGCGUCUCCUCUUGUAGGGAGAUUUUUCCAGCUGAUGUUUUGCAGCCCCAGCUGAAGUAUCUGCAAGUGGCAGGAGAAUAAACGUGGUGCAGAGGUGCCGAAGAAAUUCCCUGGAGGAGAUGUCACCAGGCCCAGGACUGCACGGCUGUCGCAGCGGUUUGGGGACGUGGACUUAUUCUUCCCAUAUGUCAUACGCGUGUCAUAUGACGACGACAAAAUAAUAACAAGUUGGUGACUGUUUGAAACUUUUUUUAACAGCUGUGUUUUUAGAAUACUGUAAUUAGCCAUCCGUUUGCCUUAAUCACGCUAAGAUUUCUGAAAUAACUGAGAGCUCAGUGUACCUUCUCUUGACGUGAAGCUUCCCCACGUUGGGCCCGUUACCUUAUUUCGAGGAAGGGAGGGCAGAAGCAGCAGGGCAGAGGUGCAAACACGCAGUCCGGUUCCUCAGUAGAAAUUGCCAUAUAAAUUACUGAAACCGUCAUGUAAUAAUUUUAACUUGCAGCGACUGCACUGCAGGCAAGCGAAGAGGUGACAUUACAUUUCAUCGGCACAAUGACUGACUCACGUCGCCUGGGCUCGCUAUGGCAAAAUUUAAAUGAAGUAAGAGCAGCGUUUGCUGGAAGAGCGAGCGGCGAGCUGUGAGCGCGGGAGGAACACUUGUCAGCUUGCCAGGGAGAAGCCGGAUUAAACGCUGCGCGCUAAUAGAGCGUGCGGAGCGACACGGCUGCCUCGUGGCUGAGUGUCACAGCCUGAUCCAGGUAAAAGCAGAGGCCUUUAUCUCCAGAACGCACUGCUGCCUGUCAGCAUUGGGGUUUUUUAAAAUGACAUGUUUUCUUUUGGCAGAUGGGAACAAGCCUAGAAGAAUAAAUUUUUGGAGGCAGACAAAUUGGCUGCCUGGAAAUACAUGUCUUCCCGAGGUGUCGGGUCCCGGGGAGCGUUCACACUGCCCCGGGUGCGAGCGCGGGCCGGCCGGCGCCGCUCAGCCUCUCGCCGCUGCGGGGUGAAGAGCCGGCCCUGACGGGCUGCCGAAGCCCCCGGCCCGCAGCCGCGGCCUCCCGGCACGAACCACUGCGCGGAUAUAAGAUUUGCUCUGGAUAUUGCUGAUAUUGCUUUGCGCCUCCCUUGCGAAGCGUCCCCGCUGGCUAUUUCUCUAGCCGUGGGAUUUCACGGAGAUGAGCGCGCGCCUCCUUCCUCCGGCGGCCGAAAUCAAACCCGUCUCUGAGAGGGAAUAACGCGGCAGCCCCCGGCUGAUGAGAACCACGAGGCUCUCCGCAACCGGAGGGCAGAUAAAGCCGUUCCCUGCAUUAGCAGCGGGGCGAGCCGAGGUGCAGGGAGGUACGUGCUCUCCUCGGCCCCGCGUGUCCCCGCCGGCCCCGGCACACGAGACCCCGCGGGCAGCGUCCCCCCAGCAGCCGCCCCAAACUGCAUCAUCCCCCUCGGCUUCAAAAAUCCGCCAAAAAUUCAGGUACCAAAACCAGGCGUCGGGACUCUUGAGCAAACAUCAGAAAUCAAUAGGAGCUGGAAAGAUUUUUGAACACCUCCGCGGUGCCUAAAUAUUGGAGGUAGGCACGAUUUAGCUCGGUCCUUUAGGCCUCUUGGCUCAAGCAACAUGAAGCAGCAGCCUUCCAGCGCGGCUCAGCCUGCCUGGCCGCAGCCUGCACAGGGUUUACUUCACUCGGGAAGGAGGACUUACAUUUGGAGGUCACCAUUAAGAUUGUUCCCGUCAGAUAGCAGAAGAACAAGAGACAAUUAAAAUCAUCUCCUUGGAUAAAACUCCAGUGUUUCUAGCGGGGGAGAAGCGCAAGCGAUCCGCUACUUCAACAGCUUUGCAGCGAAGAGAAAACGCUCAGCUGAUGCAGUCUGACCCGUUUUCUGACUUCUGCUGCUCUUUGGGAAUUGAGCACCCACUGGUGGUGCCACUCUGGCAAGUAUUUCAUGUCCACGAUUAUUUUUACACGUCUACAGUCAACAAUUUUUGGCCUGCAGAUGCUUGGUGAAAAAAAUACGUAUCUAUUGUGGUACAUGCAGGCCAUUGAGAGCUGGUGUCCUGCAGGCCGUCCGUCGACAAGGCAAGGCUGGGCCAACAUCACACACCUUACAUAGCUGCUCACUGCCGUGCGGGUGAUCUACGCACUAGCACGCAAUAUGGCAUAACCGUCUAUUACACAUGUGCACGUGGAGGAGUUCAAAUGCUCUGAACGUUUAGAUGGAGCCAUCACUGGCCAUGGAUGCCAGGUUCGCAGCAUUACAGUAAGAUUAGGUCAACUACCAGAAAAUACAGCAAUUUUUUUCAUUUGCUAGCUAGGACCUGACGGGCUGAAUGACCACUGCUCAAAAUGAGGCCCAGACCCCUCGUGGCCAGCGAUCUUCAUCCAUGAAGAAGGUACCCCAGCUGUGUCUGCGUGGGGGCUCGUGAUCCCCCGAUCGCGCACCGUUACUGCUGCUCAUCCAGCUCCAUCAGAAGCAGGGGGGGCGGGGGGAGCAGCAGCCGUGCCUUAAAAACAAGGCUUCCACAGCUGCCGCAUGUUCACGGUGCUUCCCAAAGCAGCCCUAGGCAAGGGCAGAGCAAUUCCUGGCAUUUCCCGCAGGCCAAGCGACUGCGAGAGAGGGGAAGAAGAAGUGUGAGGAGAAAAGCCAGGGUAGACAAAGCCACUUCAUCCCCCGGGGGUCCGGCAAUUGGCUUUUUUUGGUUUGGAGGCGGGCUGAGAAGAAAGUCAAAUGGGAGAUGAGAGAAAAAUGCCAGAAAAGAUCCUUUCAUUAACUGGUGGCCGACACGACAAGCCGAGCCCGUUAAAAACGGGCUGGUUUGGUGAGAGGCACUGAAUUGCUGAUGCUGAGCUGCACGUAAGUGCGAGUUGCGUCCGCUACGUACGCCAGCCUGCAGGCAACGCUGGCUCCCAACUGCCUGAAAAAGUUGAAGAAAAGAGUUUGUAUCCUUUCCUCAAAAGCACAGUUCUAGCCGCAAAUCCAAAUGUAUGGACAAAAUGUAAAUGCAUUGUGACAAGCUGUACAAAGAAUCAAAACAAGGAACAAGGAGCGUAUGUUUCUUCUAGAGAAAUGUCCUUUAUCUCACAGGCAGAAUGAAGUGUGUGGCAUUCAAAUGUUAAGAUUUUUACACACUUUCAUGAAAUACUAAAGAGAAACCAAAAAAAAAACAACAAGAAAAUAACCCAAGUCCAUGUCACUUCUCAGCUAGUUUGGUUAUUGCUGCUCCUGAGUACUGUAACAUAUGCACUUUCCCUUUUGAAAAUGUAUCAAAGUUGUUAUUUUGGGGGUGGGAUAAACUCUUAUCCAUGCAUAUCUUAUGUUUUAAAGCCAAGAAAGCUUAAGAACCGACUCUGGAUCUGCACAUCAGAUGCAUAAGUGAUUAGUGACAAGUGACACAGAAACAGCGAAUGUUCUAUGUUACAAUGAAUAAUAAACACAUGCAAUUUAUGCAGAAAGAGUAGGGAGAUGGCAUCAUGCACUUUUUCCAUAUAAAUAAUGUGAAUCUCUUAGAAAUGGGUCCAAGUUAAAAGGGGAGUUUCUUCAGUCCACAAACCUCGCAGGUUGUCAGAGGCUGGUCUGGGGAUGCGAUACUGACGGGGGAACAAAGCAGGGACGGGCAAGAAACGGUCACGUAUGGAUACGGUUUGCUUCUACAAUUUUGUUACAGAGCAACUAAUGGCAAUUAAUCCUCUCGAAAUUAGAAUAAACACAGGAAACAGAUUUAAAGUGAUCAAAUUUUUUCACUUGAUCAUUUUUCUGAAAGAAUGAUCCCUUUGAUAAAUGAAAACAAUUGUAUCAUUUUCUGCUUCCUGGGUUUAUGGAGAACAUCACAAAAGUGUCCACUGUGAGGAAAAAGAAAAAAAAAUAAAAAACUGCCUUGCAAACGUAUUGCUGAUGCAUACCUGAAAAAGCUAAUGAGAACUAAUUUUUGCCCGGCCAGGGCAGGCGGGCUUUCGUCCUGAGCCCGACUCCUGAACUUUUCCUCCCUCCGCGGCUUUUCUUGCUUGUCACCGAUCACUUCUGCAUCUGCUGCACAGACCCAGAGGCUUUGGCAUUCUUGGCUUUAAAAUGCAAGCUGUGCCUGGAUUGCGCUUCAUCCCACCCUCAAAGUAACACUGGCGAAAUGCAGGCGAAAGGCAGGGCGCCCUAGCAACCGGGGGUAAACCCGCCGCCCUCCUCUAGCCGCACGGAAACGCCACAUUUAUGAGCAAAGCAAUUUUCUUUUUCCUGCCUUGCUCAGCCCCGCAUCCGCCAGGGA
Dromaius novaehollandiae (emu) is the source of this 7774-nucleotide long non-coding RNA. RefSeq lists it as uncharacterized. The record is from RefSeq and is a predicted model, not a curated record. Lineage: Eukaryota; Metazoa; Chordata; Aves; Casuariiformes; Dromaiidae. The transcript is spliced from 9 exons.